RNAcentral lists this ribosomal RNA (497 nucleotides) under uncultured bacterium. RNAcentral's name for it is "partial 16S ribosomal RNA". It matches the Rfam family "Bacterial small subunit ribosomal RNA", at positions 28 to 507 of the family's 1533-position model. The record is from RNAcentral.
GACGAACGCUGGCGGCGUGCCUAACACAUGCAAGUCGAGCGAACAGACGAGGAGCUUGUUCCUCUGACGUUAGCGGCGGACGGGUGAGAAACACGUGGAUACCCUACUUAUCAGACUGGGAUAAUUUCGGGACACCGGCGCUUAUCCCGGAUAAUCUCUUGCACCGCAUGGUUCAUUAGUGAAAGACGGUUUUGCUGUCACUUCUCGCUGGAUCUGCGCGGCAUUAGCUGGUUGGUACGGUAAAGGCUUACCAAGGCGACGAUGCGUAGCCGACGUGAUAGAGGGAUAGGCCACACGAGAGCGGGAACACGGUCCAGACUCCUACGGUAGGCAGCAGUAGGGAAUCUGCCGCAGUAGGCGAAAGCUUGGCGGAGCAGCGCGGCGUGAGUGAUGAAGGUCUUGGGAGCGUGAAGCUCUGUUAUGAGGGAAGAACAAAUGUGUAAGGAGCUGUGCACGUCUUGACGGUACCUGGUCAGAAAGCCACGGCUAACUACGUG